Non-coding RNA from Brachypodium distachyon (stiff brome), 135 nucleotides. The record is from Rfam. Lineage: Eukaryota; Viridiplantae; Streptophyta; Magnoliopsida; Poales; Poaceae.
UUUUUACUCUCUCCGUUCAACAAAAUAUGUCUUAAGUUUGUCAAAAUUUGGAUGUAUCUAGACAUGACUUAGUGUAUAGAUGCAUUCAAAUUUAGUCAAAUUGAGACAUUUUUUGCUGGAUGGAGGAAGUACAAA